RNAcentral lists this ribosomal RNA (585 nucleotides) under uncultured bacterium. RNAcentral describes it as "partial 16S ribosomal RNA". It matches the Rfam family "Bacterial small subunit ribosomal RNA", at positions 355 to 1375 of the family's 1533-position model. The record is from RNAcentral.
UGGGGAAUUUUGGACAAUGGGCGAAAGCCUGAUCCAGCAAUGCCGCGUGUGUGAAGAAGGCCUUCGGGUUGUAAAGCACUUUUGUCCGGAAAGAAAUCCUUGGCUCUAAUACAGUCGGGGGAUGACGGUACCGGAAGAAUAAGCACCGGCUAACUACGUGCCAGCAGCCGCGGUAAUACGUAGGGUGCAAGCGUUAAUCGGAAUUACUGGGCGUAAAGCGUGCGCAGGCGGUUUGCUAAGACCGAUGUGAAAUCCCCGGGCUCAACCUGGGAACUGCAUUGGUGACUGGCAGGCUAGAGUAUGGCAGAGGGGGGUAGAAUUCCACGUGUAGCAGUGAAAUGCGUAGAGAUGUGGAGGAAUACCGAUGGCGAAGGCAGCCCCCUGGGCCAAUACUGACGCUCAUGCACGAAAGCGUGGGGAGCAAACAGGAUUAGAUACCCUGGUAGUCCACGCCCUAAGCGAUGUCAACUAGUUGUUGGGGAUUCAUUUCCUUAGUAACGUAGCUAACGCGUGAAGUUGACCGCCUGGGGAGUACGGUCGCAAGAUUAAAACUUAAAUGAAUUGACGGGGUCAUAGCUGUUUCCU